ACCGCCAAAACCGAAAACACCUGCGGUCACAGUGGAACCUGGCUGACAGAUGUUGAGCCAGGCAGAGCAGGACAGCUUACCUCAUUUCAGAGGAGAGAAGCCCGGCAGAGCCCCCAGCUGAUGCCAGAGGAAGAUCCAGGUUUCCUGGAGUUUGUGAGUAUGUGAGUGUGUGCUCAGGCACUCUACCCAGCUGGGUGGUGACUAGUGUCUGGGGCUGCCUCUGGCUUUGUGUUGAUGUAGUGGUAACUUGUGUGUGUAUGUUUUGAUUCCCUCAAGUGUGGCCCCUAAGAGGCUGAGAAUUCAGCCUCAAGUUGAGAUGCUUGUGCUAAUAGGCUUCAGCCACCUAAGGGGAGGUGGAGUGGCUGAGAUGGUCUGCCACCUAGUGACGGGCCUUUAAAGUGGGAGGGAGGUAACUAAAGUUGACCCAGUGCUUAUAAUGCGUACACAUGUGGUCACACCUGAUCCUCAUAAUUACCCUCUAAUUAGGGAUUAUUGUCCCCAAUUUACUGAUGAGGAAACUGAGAUUCAGAGAAGAUCCACAACUUGCUCUGAGGCCACAUAACUAAUAAAUGGGGAUUUGAACCCAAGUCUGUCUGACUCCAUGCAUUUUCUGCCUCACAAGAGAGCCACUGGCUUAAAUAGGUCCUGGCGGUCCAUAGCCAGUGGGCACGGAGGCUAGCUGGCUAAUCAGGAUGGGUGGGGGAGGCCCUAGGCAUGGCUGGCCCUGGGCACAGGGAACUCAGCAGAAUGUGUAUGCUCAUAGAGUGUGGGUUGGGCUGGCUUGGGCUUAAAGUGAUGCUGCCCCUGUCUGUGGCCUCUGAACAUCCCUGUGCUAGACAUUGGUGCCGUGAGUUGGGAGAAUGAGGGAAACCCAGCAUCAGCACUCCAGGAAUUCAUAGACAUUAAACAGAUAAACACUCUGUGAUGUAGGGACAAUUUUGAUGGGGGCUACAGAGGAAAAGAACAGAGGGCCAUGAGAUAAAACUUUAAGGAGACCUCCUUCAGAUCUAGUAGACAAGGAAGACUUCUCCAGGACUCAGCAGAGGCCUAAAGGAUAUGAGAAAACCGAGGCAUGGAGAGAUUAAGAGACAUGCUCAUGGACACACAGCUAAGAGGUGGCAGAGAUGGGAUUCAAACCCAGGCAGCCUGGCUCCAGAGUCAAUGCUACCUUGCCUCCCAUAUAGGCCUUGCUGCCACCACCCAGGAUGCCCUUCACAAUCGCUCUUGACCAGCAUCUAGUUGCCCUGCACCUGCCCUCAGGAGACUUGCAGGAAGGUCCUUGCUGGGAAAGAUUUUCUGCACCCUUCUUCACUUCCUGGGCCUGCCUUUAUCUAAGGAUGUGGACUCUGGCUCCUCUUUGACCCACACCCACGGCAGCAGGACAGAUGCAGCCUCUUCCAGGCCCAGUCCAGCCCCAGCUCCUCGGGAGGGAGCCACCCUUGCUGAUCUGAGCAGCCAGACCACAUUCCACA
This is a long non-coding RNA of Diceros bicornis minor, 1472 nucleotides long. RefSeq lists it as uncharacterized. Lineage: Eukaryota; Metazoa; Chordata; Mammalia; Perissodactyla; Rhinocerotidae. The record is from RefSeq and is a predicted model, not a curated record. The transcript is spliced from 4 exons.